Molecule: long non-coding RNA, 948 nt
Filed under: Numida meleagris (helmeted guineafowl)
Lineage: Eukaryota; Metazoa; Chordata; Aves; Galliformes; Numididae
Description: lncRNA (ENSNMEG00000008534.1)
Source: RNAcentral
CAGAGAUAUGUUUUCUUUUUCUUUUUUCUUAGACCUAGCAAUAGUAUCUGGCAAGACAUUAAAGGCUGUUUUUCCCUGCUGAAGCCUUGUCUUUAGCAGUAGGUGGUGCUGUGCUUUCACUGAAUCAGCGUUUGGCUCUCAUUCCUGGGGACAAUUCCCUAAAGUGGAGCUACAGCGUGAUGAAAAUAGGAAUUUGUUUCGUCUGCAUAUUUAGCUGGCUGAAUAAGCUGCCCCUGGGUUCCAUAUGCAUCAUUCCAGUGAUACUGCCUUCCGUCCUUCUCAGAUACCUUUAAAUAGGGGAGCUACUUUAUGCCACCUGGCUGUUCCGUGCCUCUCUCUUCUACCCUUUUGAAGCUGGAGGGAGAGACCUUGCAGCUCCAACGUGACUGUGCUUUGCUGUGCUGGGGCAGUUAGGAUCUGGAACAGCUGACCUGGAUGUGGAACACAGCUACAGUUGCCUUUAUGUAGCCCUGGAAGGGGGUAAAUUUUGUAUGGAGGGAAGAGAAGAAAAAGUGUGUUUGUACCACUCAGUACUCCAGAUUUUCCAAUGAGGUGAAGUCCUACGAGUUAAGUUCUGGCUCAAAGGCAGACAGAUCACCUAGCCAGAAAGAGUGUCAGAUGCAGACUCCUUUAUGCAGAAUGAGGUGGACGAUGAGUAUGGAGAAAGAAGAUGACCAUAUUACUACCCAAGAGUUACAAAAAAAGAAGUUAGGACGUGAGAGUAUUACAUAGCUUGAAAUAGGGCCCACAGUGAACUGUGGAGAACAUUUAGGUUUUCAGUGAUGGCAUAAGAAAUGUUACGGAACAGAAGACAGCCUUAGGUCAAUGCUCCUUGUUAGAAACAGAAGACUGGAAAUUCAUUUGUGAUGCUGUUUUGAAUAGGAUCCCAAACAGAUUUACUAUAAUCAUUCCAAGUUUUUUUCAGGGAUAAAGUCAGACAUCAUGUUG